RNAcentral lists this ribosomal RNA (471 nucleotides) under uncultured organism. RNAcentral describes it as "partial 16S ribosomal RNA". It matches the Rfam family "Bacterial small subunit ribosomal RNA", at positions 334 to 797 of the family's 1533-position model. The record is from RNAcentral.
CACUCCUACGGGAGGCAGCAGUGGGGAAUUUUGGACAAUGGGCGAAAGCCUGAUCCAGCCAUGCCGCGUGCAGGAUGAAGGCCUUCGGGUUGUAAACUGCUUUUGUACGGAACGAAACGGCCUUUUCUAAUAAAGAGGGCUAAUGACGGUACCGUAAGAAUAAGCACCGGCUAACUACGUGCCAGCAGCCGCGGUAAUACGUAGGGUGCAAGCGUUAAUCGGAAUUACUGGGCGUAAAGCGUGCGCAGGCGGUUAUGUAAGACAGUUGUGAAAUCCCCGGGCUCAACCUGGGAACUGCAUCUGUGACUGCAUAGCUAGAGUACGGUAGAGGGGGAUGGAAUUCCGCGUGUAGCAGUGAAAUGCGUAGAUAUGCGGAGGAACACCGAUGGCGAAGGCAAUCCCCUGGACCUGUACUGACGCUCAUGCACGAAAGCGUGGGGAGCAAACAGGAUUAGAAACCCGUGUAGUCCC